Unclassified non-coding RNA from Piliocolobus tephrosceles (Ugandan red Colobus), 253 nucleotides. It matches the Rfam family "Metazoan signal recognition particle RNA". From Rfam's summary of the family: The signal recognition particle (SRP) is a universally conserved ribonucleoprotein. It is involved in the co-translational targeting of proteins to membranes. The record is from Ensembl. NCBI's taxonomy places the organism in Eukaryota, Metazoa, Chordata, Mammalia, Primates, Cercopithecidae.
CCUGCCAUGGUGGCGUAUGCCUGUAAUCCCAGCACUUUGGAAGGCCGAGGCUAUAGUGUACUAUGUCGAUUGUGUAUCUGCAGCAAGUUUGGCCUCAAUAUGACCUCCCAGGAGUGGAGGACCCCCAGAUUGCCUAAGGAGGGGUGAACAGGCCCAGGUUGAAAACGGAGGUCAAAACUUCCAUGCUGAGGCCGUGCGUGGUGGCUCACGCUUGUAAUCCCAGCACUUUGAGACACUGCACUCUAGCCUGGGU